RNAcentral lists this ribosomal RNA (448 nucleotides) under uncultured bacterium. RNAcentral's name for it is "bacterial SSU rRNA". It matches the Rfam family "Bacterial small subunit ribosomal RNA", at positions 328 to 793 of the family's 1533-position model. The record is from RNAcentral.
GUUCCAGACUCCUACGGGAGGCAGCAGUGGGGAAUAUUGCACAAUGGGGGAAACCCUGAUGCAGCAACGCCGCGUGAGUGAAGAAGUCAUUCGUGCUGUAAAGCCCUAUCAGCAGGAAAGAAAAUGACGGUACCUGACUAAGAAGCCCCGGCUAACUACGUGCCAGCAGCCGCGGUAAUACGUAGGGGGCAAGCGUUAUCCGGAUUUACUGGGUGUAAAGGGAGCGUAGACGGCAGUGCAAGUCCGGAGUGAAAGCCCGGGGCUCAACCCUGGGACUGCUCUGGAAACUGUAAAGCUGGAGUGCGGGAGGGGCAGGCGGAAUUCCUGGUGUAGCGGUGAAAUGCGUAGAUAUCAGGAGGAACACCGGCGGCGAAGGCGGCCUGCUGGACCGUAACUGACGUUGAGGCUCGAAAGCGUGGGGAGCAAACAGGAUUAGAUACCCCUGUAC